RNAcentral lists this unclassified non-coding RNA (252 nucleotides) under Borreliella afzelii. Lineage: Bacteria; Pseudomonadati; Spirochaetota; Spirochaetia; Spirochaetales; Borreliaceae. The record is from RNAcentral.
AGGGAACAUUGGUAUAUUUUCCGGACACAGAAGCUAAGCUCUUAUUCGCUGAUGGUACUGCGAGUUCGCGGGAGAGUAAGUUAUUGCCAGGGUUUUUAUUUUAUACUUUAAAUCUUGAAUUUAUUUUUUAAAUGUUUAUAUUAUUUGAAUAAAACAUUCAAAUAAUAUAAAAAAUAAUAUAUAUAUUGACAUGGAUUAAACAAAGAUAUAUAUUAUUCUAUGUUGUAUAAACAAAUUGGCAAAAUAGAGAUG